RNAcentral lists this ribosomal RNA (465 nucleotides) under uncultured bacterium. RNAcentral's name for it is "partial 16S ribosomal RNA". It matches the Rfam family "Bacterial small subunit ribosomal RNA", at positions 28 to 507 of the family's 1533-position model. The record is from RNAcentral.
GACGAACGCUGGCGGCGUGCUUAACACAUGCAAGUCGAACGGAAAGGCCCUGCUUGCAGGGUACUCGAGUGGCGAACGGGUGAGUAACACGUGGGUGAUCUGCCCUGCACUUCGGGAUAAGCCUGGGAAACUGGGUCUAAUACCGGAUAGGAGCCAUUUUUAGUGUGAUGGUUGGAAAGUUUUUUCGGUGUAGGAUGAGCUCGCGGCCUAUCAGCUUGUUGGUGGGGUAAUGGCCUACCAAGGCGGCGACGGGUAGCCGGCCUGAGAGGGUGGACGGCCACAUUGGGACUGAGAUACGGCCCAGACUCCUACGGGAGGCAGCAGUGGGGAAUAUUGCACAAUGGGCGCAAGCCGGAUGCAGCGACGCCGCGGGGGGGAUGACGGCCUUCGGGUUGUAAACUCCUUUCGCUAGGGACGAAGCUUUUUGUGACGGUACCUAGAUAAGAAGCACCGGCUAACUACGUG